UGACGUCAUUCAGGAGAAGAAAGUUAGACUUUCGCCGAAGGAAUUACACUCUCAGGUGUCUUAAGACAGGACUGAUUGAC
RNAcentral lists this non-coding RNA (80 nucleotides) under Streptococcus agalactiae. RNAcentral's name for it is "Glycine sequence". It matches the Rfam family "Glycine riboswitch aptamer". Rfam says of the family: This family represents the bacterial glycine riboswitch. Glycine riboswitches usually consist of two metabolite-binding aptamers domains with similar structures in tandem. Lineage: Bacteria; Bacillati; Bacillota; Bacilli; Lactobacillales; Streptococcaceae. The record is from RNAcentral. RNAcentral also lists the same sequence under 1 other name.